This 613-nucleotide ribosomal RNA is filed under the name uncultured Gammaproteobacteria bacterium. RNAcentral describes it as "bacterial SSU rRNA". It matches the Rfam family "Bacterial small subunit ribosomal RNA", at positions 1 to 610 of the family's 1533-position model. The record is from RNAcentral. Lineage: Bacteria; Pseudomonadati; Pseudomonadota; Gammaproteobacteria.
UGAGUUUGAUCAUGGCUCAGAUUGAACGCUGGCGGCAGGCCUAACACAUGCAAGUCGAGCGGUAACAGGACUAGCUUGCUAGUUGCUGACGAGCGGCGGACGGGUGCGUAACACGUAGGAAUCUGCCCGGUAGUGGGGGAUAGCCCGGAGAAAUCCGGAUUAAUACCGCAUACGCCUUACGAGGGAAAGGAGGGGACUCUUCGGAGCCUUUCGCUAUCGGAUGAGCCUGCGUCGGAUUAGCUAGUUGGUGGGGUAAAGGCCUACCAAGGCGACGAUCCGUAGCUGGUCUGAGAGGAUGAUCAGCCACACUGGGACUGAGACACGGCCCAGACUCCUACGGGAGGCAGCAGUGGGGAAUAUUGCACAAUGGGGGAAACCCUGAUGCAGCCAUGCCGCGUGUGUGAAGAAGGCUCUAGGGUUGUAAAGCACUUUCAGCGAGGAGGAAAGGUUGCUGGUUAAUACCCAGCGGCUGUGACGUUACUCGCAGAAGAAGCACCGGCUAACUCCGUGCCAGCAGCCGCGGUAAUACGGAGGGUGCGAGCGUUAAUCGGAAUUACUGGGCGUAAAGCGUGCGUAGGCGGCCAUGUAAGUUGGAUGUGAAAGCCCCGGGCUC